Molecule: ribosomal RNA, 502 nt
Filed under: uncultured bacterium
Lineage: Bacteria
Description: bacterial SSU rRNA
Rfam family: Bacterial small subunit ribosomal RNA
Source: RNAcentral
CCUGGCUCAGGAUGAACGCUGGCGGCGUGCCUAAUACAUGCAAGUCGAACGAGAUAGCAAUAGUCGAGUGGCGAACGGGUGAGUAACACGUAGGUAACCUGCCUUACAGUUCGGGAUACCCUGGCGAAAGCUAGGCUAAUACGAAUAAUGGAUGGAGGCAUCUCCGAUCUCUAAAAGGGGCCCUUAAAGCCUCGCUGAAUGAUGGACCUGCGGCGCAUUAGCUAGUUGGUGAGAUAACAGCCACCAAGGCGAGGAUGCGUAGCCGACCUGAGAGGGUGAACGGCCACACUGGAACUGAGACACGGUCCAGACUCCUACGGGAGGCAGCAGUAGGGAGUUUUCGGCAAUGGGGGAAACCCUGACCGAGCAACGCCGCGUGAAUGAUAGAAGGUCUUCGGAUUGUAAAGUUCUGUUAUAAGGGAAAAAUGAUAUGGUGAGGAAAUGCUCCAUAUUUGAUGGUACCUUAUUAGAAAGCCACGGCUAACUACGUGCCAGCAGCCGC